This 272-nucleotide ribosomal RNA is filed under the name uncultured bacterium. Its description in RNAcentral is "partial 16S ribosomal RNA". It matches the Rfam family "Bacterial small subunit ribosomal RNA", at positions 83 to 354 of the family's 1533-position model. The record is from RNAcentral.
CGGGAUAGUUUAGUGGCGGACGGGUGAGUAACACGUGAGCAACCUACCUUCGAGAGGGGAAUAACGGCUGGAAACGGUCGCUAAUACCGCAUAACAUACUGGGGGGACACCCCUUUGGUAUCAAAGAUUUUAUCGCUCGGAGAUGGGCUCGCGUCCGAUUAGGUAGUUGGUGAGGUAACGGCUCACCAAGCCGACGAUCGGUAGCCGGACUGAGAGGUCGAACGGCCACAUUGGGACUGAGACACGGCCCAGACUCCUACGGAAGGCAGCAG